RNAcentral lists this ribosomal RNA (781 nucleotides) under Solanum phureja. RNAcentral's name for it is "bacterial SSU rRNA". It matches the Rfam family "Bacterial small subunit ribosomal RNA", at positions 13 to 839 of the family's 1533-position model. The record is from RNAcentral. Lineage: Eukaryota; Viridiplantae; Streptophyta; Magnoliopsida; Solanales; Solanaceae.
UUGAUCAUGGCUCAGAACGUACGCUGGCGGCACGCCUAACACAUGCAAGUCGAACGAAGUAGCAAUACUUAGUGGCAGACGGGUGAGUAACAUGUAGGUAUCUGCCCUAUGGCCUGGAAUAACACGAGGAAACUUGUGCUAAUACCGGAUAAGUCUUUACAGAGAAAGCUUUAUGCACCAUUGGAUGAGCCUGCACUUGAUUAGUUUGUUGGUGGGGUAAUGGCCUACCAAGACUGUGAUCAAUAGCUGAUUUGAGAGGAUGAUCAGCCACAUUGGGACUGAGACACGGCCCAAACUCCUACGGGAGGCAGCAGUGGGGAAUCUUGCACAAUGGAGGAAACUCUGAUGCAGCGAUGCCGCGUGAGUGAAGAAGGCCCUUGGGUUGUAAAGCUCUUUCGUCGGGGAAGAAAAUGACUGUACCCGAAUAAGAAGGUCCGGCUAACUUCGUGCCAGCAGCCGCGGUAAUACGAAGGGACCUAGCGUAGUUCGGAAUUACUGGGCUUAAAGAGUUCGUAGGUGGUUGAAAAAGUUGGUGGUGAAAUCCCAGAGCUUAACUCUGGAACUGCCAUCAAAACUUUUCAGCUAGAGUUUGAUAGAGGAAAGCAGAAUUUCUAGUGUAGAGGUGAAAUUCGUAGAUAUUAGAAAGAAUACCAAUUGCGAAGGCAGCUUUCUGGAUCAUUACUGACACUGAGGAACGAAAGCAUGGGUAGCGAACAGGAUUAGAUACCCUGGUAGUCCACGCCGUAAACGAUGACAACUAGCUGUUGGGAGACAAUGUCUU